GACGAACGCUGGCGGCGUGCUUAACACAUGCAAGUCGAACGAAACGGCCCUGCUUUUGUGCGGUGCUCGAGUGGCGACCUGGUGAGUAACCCGUAAGUUCCCUGCACUUGACUGUGGGAUAUCUUCAGGACACUGGGGCUCAUACCGGCUAGGAGCUACCGCUGCAUGGUGGGCGUUGGAAAGUUUCGGCGGUUGGGGAUGGACUCGCGGCUUAUCAGCUUGUUGGUGGGGUAGUGUCUUACCAAGGCUAUGCCGGGUAGCCGGGCUGAGCGGGGGACAGGCCAAACUGCGAUUGAGAUGCGGCACAGACUCCUACGGUACGCAGCGGUGGGGAAGAGUGCACAAUGGGCGGAAGCCUAAUGUAGCAACGCCGCGCGCGGGAUGACAGCCUGCGGGUUGGAAACCGAAUUCGCUUUUGACGAAGCGUGAGUGACGGUAAUGGGUAAAGAAGCACCGGCUAACUACGUG
RNAcentral lists this ribosomal RNA (468 nucleotides) under uncultured bacterium. RNAcentral describes it as "partial 16S ribosomal RNA". It matches the Rfam family "Bacterial small subunit ribosomal RNA", at positions 28 to 507 of the family's 1533-position model. The record is from RNAcentral.